GGUAGGAUGGCUGAGCAAAAGGCGGGAGGCUGUAAACCCCCUUACGGAGAUCUAAUCUUCUCCUAUCA
RNAcentral lists this transfer RNA (68 nucleotides) under Lacerta bilineata. RNAcentral's name for it is "tRNA-Tyr". It matches the Rfam family "tRNA". Rfam says of the family: Transfer RNA (tRNA) molecules are approximately 80 nucleotides in length. Lineage: Eukaryota; Metazoa; Chordata; Lepidosauria; Squamata; Lacertidae. The record is from RNAcentral.